CAGUCGACGGCAGCACGGGUGCUUGCACCUGGUGGCGAGUGGCGAACGGGUGAGUAAUACAUCGGAACGUACCUUAUCGUGGGGGAUAACGCAGCGAAAGCUGUGCUAAUACCGCAUACGCCCUGAGGGGGAAAGCGGGGGAUCGAAAGACCUCGCGCGAUUAGAGCGGCCGAUGCCUGAUUAGCUUGUUGGUGGGGUAAAAGCCCACCAAGGCGACGAUCAGUAGCUGGUCUGAGAGGACGAUCAGCCACACUGGGACUGAGACACGGCCCAGACUCCUACGGGAGGCAGCAGUGGGGAAUUUUGGACAAUGGGGGAAACCCUGAUCCAGCAAUGCCGCGUGAGUGAAGAAGGCCUUCGGGUUGUAAAGCUCUUUUGUCAGGGAAGAAACACCGGCUCUAACACAGUCCGGGAAUGACGGUACCUGAAGAAUAAGCACCGGCUAACUACGUGCCAGCAGCCGCGGUAAUACGUAGGGUGCGAGCGUUAAUCGGAAUUACUGGGCGUAAAGCGUGCGCAGGCGGUUAUACAAGACAGGCGUGAAAUCCCCGGGCUUAACCUGGGAAUGGCGCCUGUGACUGUAUAGCUAGAGUGUGUCAGAGGGGGGUAGAAUUCCACGUGUAGCAGUGAAAUGCGUAGAUAUGUGGAGGAAUACCAAUGGCGAAGGCAGCCCCCUGGGAUAACACUGACGCUCAUGCACGAAAGCGUGGGGAGCAAACAGGAUUAGAUACCCUGAUAGUCCACGCCCUAAACGAUGCUGACUAGUUGUUCGGGAUUUACAUCCUGAGUAACGUAGCUAACGCGUGAAGUCAGCCGCCUGGGGAGUACGGUCGCAAGAUUAAAACUCAAAGGAAUUGACGG
This 861-nucleotide ribosomal RNA is filed under the name uncultured bacterium. RNAcentral's name for it is "bacterial SSU rRNA". It matches the Rfam family "Bacterial small subunit ribosomal RNA", at positions 59 to 916 of the family's 1533-position model. The record is from RNAcentral.